Molecule: ribosomal RNA, 269 nt
Filed under: uncultured prokaryote
Description: partial 16S ribosomal RNA
Rfam family: Bacterial small subunit ribosomal RNA
Source: RNAcentral
UACGGAGGAUGCAAGCGUUAUCCGGAUUUAUUGGGUUUAAAGGGUCCGUAGGCGGGAUAAUAAGUCGGUGGUGAAAUCGAGCAGCUUAACUGUUCAACUGCCAUUGAAACUGUUGGUCUUGAGUGAAUUUGAAGUUGCCGGAAUAUGUAGUGUAGCGGUGAAAUGCAUAGAUAUUACAUAGAACACCAAUUGCGAAGGCAGGUAACUAAGAUUUAACUGACGCUGAUGGACGAAAGCGUGGGGAGCGAACAGGAUUAGAUACCCUGGUA